GACGAACGCUGGCGGCGUGCUUAACACAUGCAAGUCGAACGGAAAGGCCCUGCUUUUGUGGGGUGCUCGAGUGGCGAACGGGUGAGUAACACGUGAGUAACCUGCCCUUUACUUUGGGAUAACUUCAGGAAACUGGGGCUAAUACCGGAUAUGAGCUCCUGCUGCAUGGUGGGGGUUGGAAAUUUUCGGCGGUUGGGGAUGGACUCGCGGCUUAUCAGCUUGUUGGUGGGGUAGUGGCAUACCAAGGCUUUGACGGGUAGCCGGCCUGAGAGGGUGACCGGCCACAUUGGGACAGAGAUACGGCACAGACUCAUACGGGAGGCAGCAGUGGGGAAUAUUGCACAAUGGGCGGAAGCCUGAUGCAGAAACGCCGCGUGCGGGAUGACGGCCUUCGGGUUGUAAACCGCUUUCGCCUGUGACGACGCGUGAGUGACGGUAAUGGGUAAAGAAGCACCGGCUAACUACGUG
RNAcentral lists this ribosomal RNA (468 nucleotides) under uncultured bacterium. RNAcentral describes it as "partial 16S ribosomal RNA". It matches the Rfam family "Bacterial small subunit ribosomal RNA", at positions 28 to 507 of the family's 1533-position model. The record is from RNAcentral.